Non-coding RNA from Schizosaccharomyces pombe (fission yeast), 601 nucleotides. The record is from the annotation of a GenBank genome assembly. NCBI's taxonomy places the organism in Eukaryota, Fungi, Ascomycota, Schizosaccharomycetes, Schizosaccharomycetales, Schizosaccharomycetaceae.
AAGUAUGAUUUUCUGAGUUCUUUAUUUUCCAUUAUGAGUUCUUACAAGGAAGAUUAAGUUUACAAGAGACAAAGGUGAGAUGGGAGAGACUGAGUUGCACUUGCGUAAUGUCUUAGACGAUGAGAAAUAAACCUGGGCAGCAGUAAUUUGUAUCUUUUGCUUUUUAUUUUAAAUAACAUAAUAUUUUCUAUAAAUUUAUGUCUAAAAAUCUAUCAACUUAAAUUGCAUUGAUUUGUGGCUUUUUCAUUUGUAACAGGAACACUUGCUAGGAUUGGAGGAAUGUACUUAUGGUAUAUUUCACGUUCACAAUAAAUAUAUUAAUGAUAAUAGGUCUUUAUCUUUAACGGAUCAUACUUCUGGUUCAAUAUUGCAAGGAUGGACUUGCAUGUUAUGAACGUAUUAAGUUAGAUAUCUCGAGUCAACUAUCCAGUCAGAUUUAUACCGAAAAUCAAUAAAUGUGCAGACAUUGACAUUAAAUUAGAAAAUCAUCCUUUAAACAAAAGCAAACUAGGAAAUUUGAUUUGAAGGCUACGACUUGUUACGCUAACGACUUUUCAUAUUUCCGAAGGCCACUGAUUCGAAAGCUAAAGUGUAGCUGAAG